UGAGUCGGCCGGGCGGCCGCGCCGGGCUCCGCGCCCGGUGAGGAAGGUCCGGGCUCCGCAGGGCGGGGUGGUCGGUAACGCCGACCCGGGGUGACCCGCGGGAAAGUGCCACAGAAAGCAAACCGCCUCCGCGGUUACCGCGGGGGUAAGGGUGAAACGGUGGUGUAAGAGACCACCAGCGCCGCAGGUGACUGCGGCGGCUCGGUAAACCCCACCCGGAGCAAGGUCAAGAGGGGAGCCGCGGCUCCCUGCGCGAGCGAUCGAGGGUGGCCCGCCCGAUGCUCGCGGGUAGACCGCACGAGGCUGCCGGCAACGGCAGUCCCAGAUGGAUGGCCGCCGCCCCGCGCAAGCGGGGGCACAGAACCCGGCCUACAGGCCGGCUCACCCG
This 388-nucleotide RNase P RNA is filed under the name Streptosporangiaceae bacterium. RNAcentral's name for it is "RNase P RNA component class A". It matches the Rfam family "Bacterial RNase P class A". Rfam says of the family: Ribonuclease P (RNase P) is a ubiquitous endoribonuclease, found in archaea, bacteria and eukarya as well as chloroplasts and mitochondria. Its best characterised activity is the generation of mature 5'-ends of tRNAs by cleaving the 5'-leader elements of precursor-tRNAs. Lineage: Bacteria; Bacillati; Actinomycetota; Actinomycetes; Streptosporangiales; Streptosporangiaceae. The record is from RNAcentral.